Long non-coding RNA from Mobula hypostoma (lesser devil ray), 570 nucleotides. RefSeq lists it as uncharacterized. The transcript has 3 exons. The record is from RefSeq and is a predicted model, not a curated record. Lineage: Eukaryota; Metazoa; Chordata; Chondrichthyes; Myliobatiformes; Myliobatidae.
UGAGCAGAUCUAUAAAACAGUAAAUGUGAACAGGAUUAACGAACAACAAACUGUGCAAUUGCAAAUAUAAAUAAAUAACAAUAAACAAGGAGCGCAUGAAAGAACAAGAUAAAGAGUCCUUAAAAUGAGAUCAUUGGUUGUGGGAACACCAGAAAUAGAAGGAGUGCAGUUAUCCCUUUUUGUUCAAGCUUGAGGAGUAACAUCUGUUCCUGAACCUGGAGAUGUGAGUCCUGAGGCACCUGUACCUUCUACCUGAUGGCAGCAGCAAGAAAAGAGCAUGGCCUGGGUGCAUGGAAAAUACCAAAUAAAUGUAUUGUGGAUUCAGUUUGGAACAAUGGAUUCCUAAAAGCCCAGUCCAGACUCUGCUGACUUCUGUGGGAUGGAUGCGAAUCACAAGGACCAGAUCUAAGAUAGCAUGUUCCGUUGUAAGUCCAGUAACAUGCUGUGCAAAAAAAGCUAUCACAGAUGCGUUCUAUGAAGUCCUCCUCAAGAUAGCCUCAACCAACGUGAUUUGCCAGAACUGUGCAAGCUGAAGUCCCUCAUGACAACUGCCAUUCAAUUCCUAUAUGC